This 485-nucleotide ribosomal RNA is filed under the name uncultured bacterium. RNAcentral describes it as "partial 16S ribosomal RNA". It matches the Rfam family "Bacterial small subunit ribosomal RNA", at positions 28 to 507 of the family's 1533-position model. The record is from RNAcentral.
GAUGAACGCUGGCGGCGUGCUUAACACAUGCAAGUCGAACGGGAUCCAAGGGGUGCUUGCACUUUUUGGUGAGAGUGGGGAACGGGUGAGUAACACGGGAGUAACCUGUCCUUUUCUUUGGGAUAAGCAUUCGACAGGGUGUUUAAUACGUUAUGUUCUGUCUGCGUCGCAUUGGGUGGGUGGGAAAGGCUUUGGUCGGAUUUGUGUGGGCUUGCGUUCUGUCAACUUGAUGGGGUGGGGAUGGCUUACCAAGACUUUGACCGGGAGCGGGCAUGAGAGGGCGGUCGGUCAGAUUGGGACUGAGAUACGGCACAGACGGCAGCGGGAGGCAGCAGUCGGGGAUAUGGCACAGUGGGCGAAAGCCGGAUGCAGCGACGCCGCGUGGUCUAUGGAGGCCUACACGUUGUAAACUUCUUUUACCCUGUACAUAGCAUGCCAGGGAGUGUGUGAAGGGUAGUAGUUGAUAAGCGCCGGCUAACUACGUG